CAGAAAAUAGUUUAAGUGAAAAAUUUUAGUUUUGGGAAUUAAAGAUAAGAGUGUUUUUUUUCUGA
Molecule: transfer RNA, 65 nt
Filed under: Allogalathea elegans
Lineage: Eukaryota; Metazoa; Arthropoda; Malacostraca; Decapoda; Galatheidae
Description: tRNA-Pro
Source: RNAcentral